UUUAACAAUGAAUCAAAUGAUAGGAAAAGAAUUAAUAAUUACUUAAAAUUUUUAAUAAGACGAACGGUCAAAUAUAUUUAAAAAAGUCAACGGCAUCAAAUAUUUAGGGAUGGAGGGAGUAUGAUUAAAACAAAUAAAGGUAUAUCAACUAAAGUAUUUUCCAAUGAAAACCAAAUGUGCAUAUGAUAAAAAAAACAUGUUUGCAUAGCAAAUCUUACUGACCAUAGCAAAUCUUACUGACCAUAGCAAAUCCCUAAAGUAUUUUACUGAGUACUGACCAUAGCAAAUCUUGUUUGCAUGGAUGAAUCACAUUCACAAUCCAAUGGCCUUGUCCUCUUGAUUGACUAUGUCUAAGCUCUUCCCCUUUUUAGUGUUUUUCUAUUUGGAUUCCAUGAAGGGCUAUUCUACUGCACAUGUCACACUUGAUGCCAGGUAUGUUCAAAUGUAGAAGAGAUUAAUUCUAGCAAUUUCGUUCUACAGUUGAUUGCAGAUUGUAAAGUUCAGUGAACCACCCUUUGACAUCAGAAACCUCUCACUAGUGUGUCUAUCUAAUCCGUUGAUGCUUUCUUUAGUUAGACAAACUAUGUGUGUUCUGAGUUAGAAUAUAAUAUCCUGGAUCUUCUGUGUUCUGUGCAUGUCUCUUUGUAUAUAUAUGCUUGGAGUCAUGCUGUAAUGAUCUUCAAUUUUGUCCAAGAUUACCACUAUCCAUGAGAACAUCUGCUAUUGCUUUAUUUGGAUUUUUUGGUGAUCGAUGAGAUUUUACUAUAUCCUAUACUGUUCAGAUAGCCUGAAAUUCUGAAAUCGUUUUCUUCAGGAGCUAUGUUAUUCCUGUUUAGUUUUUAUAUUAUGAGAAAUAUGUGGAUCAUUUAUACCCUGGGUUGAACUGCACUUAACUUCUCCUGAAGACCAUGUGUUGCCUCUAUAUUUCCAUCAUAUCUUGUGCCAUUGUUUGUUCUGAGGGCUGUAGUUAAACUCAUUUUUUUUUUCCUGUUGGACUGCUGUGUUUUCCCCUGAUUUUUCCAUGGUUAUGUGUUUAUAAUUUUACUCCUUUGACUUGACAUCUAUUUGUAGCACAAACGGAUAAGGAAUCAGAGUUGUACAUUUUAUUUUCUAGCAGUUAUCCAUGGGAUGGCAGCUGGGAGGCAUCUGACCCUGGCUGUGUUAGCAGAACAAUAUGAUCAUUAGCCAUUGAGAUGAUGUAGCAGGCAGUCAUAUGAGAUUUUUUUGGACCUCAAUGUUAGCAUGGCCCAUUUCCUGAUUAAUUGGACUGGUUGAUCUGCAAAGGUUGGUCUUGUUAGCUGAAGUGACACCAUAUGCAGCUUAUUACCUUGAUAAAAAUGGGAGCAAUGCUCUCAUGCGUUUUUGAGGGAAAAAAAGAGGAAGCAGUGUCAACGGAAACUGAUCCUUACUGCAGAGGUGCAUCAAUACUGAAAUGAGUCUUGUGCUACAGUUAAUUGUAGUAAAUCACUACAGCAGUAGCAAUGGUGUUUCCAGUGUAGUGCAGACAACUUCUGUUACUGUAGAAUUUCAACUGGAAAGUACACCUCUGAUCUGAUGUUCAGAAUUGAUCCUAAAACAUGACCCAAAAUUGAUGCCGACUCAAGUGAACUUGUCAAGAGUCUGCGUGACAAGUUGCUUCUGUAUUUAAAGUUGGUGAUGAUAAUGCCAAAAUUCUGGUGCAUGAAGGUUCUCUAACCCGUUGUUGGAUGGGUUUUAAGAAAAACAAGUUGUCAACCGAUUUUUAUUGUAAAUCAUUCUAGGAAACAUACUCCAAACUACUAUGAAUUUUCCUGGUUAUUUAUUUAAUCCGUGUGCCACUUUACGUAGAAAAUCAUGUGUUUGUGUAAACCUUAAAUUGACAUGUUGGCAAAUGUCAAUAUAGAAUUGUUUUUCAGAAUUUCGAGGUGUUGAAGACAUUUCAGUGAGGAAGGUUACAAUAUAACAUCGAGUAUAAGGUGGUUACAACGCAUA
This is a non-coding RNA of Oryza sativa Japonica Group (Japanese rice), 1971 nucleotides long. NCBI's taxonomy places the organism in Eukaryota, Viridiplantae, Streptophyta, Magnoliopsida, Poales, Poaceae. The record is from RefSeq and is a predicted model, not a curated record.